This 497-nucleotide ribosomal RNA is filed under the name uncultured bacterium. RNAcentral describes it as "partial 16S ribosomal RNA". It matches the Rfam family "Bacterial small subunit ribosomal RNA", at positions 28 to 507 of the family's 1533-position model. The record is from RNAcentral.
GAUGAACGCUGGCGGCGUGCCUAAUACAUGCAAGUCGAGCGAACAGAUAAGGAGCUUGCUCCUUUGACGUUAGCGGCGGACGGGUGAGUAACACGUGGAUAACCUACCUAUAAGACUGGGAUAACUUCGGGAAACCGGAGCUAAUACCGGAUAACAUAUUGAACCGCAUGGUUCAAUAGUGAAAGGCGGCUUUGCUGUCACUUAUAGAUGGAUCCGCGCCGUAUUAGCUAGUUGGUAAGGUAACGGCUUACCAAGGCAACGAUACGUAGCCGACCUGAGAGGGUGAUAGGCCACACUGGAACUGAGACACGGUCCAGACUCCUACGGGAGGCAGCAGUAGGGAAUCUUCCGCAAUGGGCGAGAGCCUGACGGAGCAACGCCGCGUGAGUGAUGAAGGUCUUCGGAUCGUAAAAAUCUGUUAUCAGGGAAGAACAAAUGUGUAAGUAACUGUGCACAUCUUGACGGUACCUGAUCAGAAAGCAACGGCUAACUACGUG